RNAcentral lists this ribosomal RNA (351 nucleotides) under uncultured bacterium. RNAcentral's name for it is "bacterial SSU rRNA". It matches the Rfam family "Bacterial small subunit ribosomal RNA", at positions 29 to 381 of the family's 1533-position model. The record is from RNAcentral.
AUUGAACGCUGGCGGCAUGCCUUACACAUGCAAGUCGAACGGCAGCGCGGGAGCAAUCCUGGCGGCGAGUGGCGAACGGGUGAGUAAUACAUCGGAACGUGCCCAAUCGUGGGGGAUAACGCAGCGAAAGCUGUGCUAAUACCGCAUACGAUCUACGGAUGAAAGCAGGGGAUCGCAAGACCUUGCGCGAAUGGAGCGGCCGAUGGCAGAUUAGGUAGUUGGUGAGGUAAAGGCUCACCAAGCCUUCGAUCUGUAGCUGGUCUGAGAGGACGACCAGCCACACUGGGACUGAGACACGGCCCAGACUCCUACGGGAGGCAGCAGUGGGGAAUUUUGGACAAUGGGCGAAAG